UGGGGAGUAUUGGACAAUGGGCGAAAGCCUGAUCCAGCCAUGCCGCGUGUGUGAAGAAGGUCUUCGGAUUGUAAAGCACUUUAAGUUGGGAGGAAGGGCAUUAACCUAAUACGUUAGUGUUUUGACGUUACCGACAGAAUAAGCACCGGCUAACUCUGUGCCAGCAGCCGCGGUAAUACAGAGGGUGCAAGCGUUAAUCGGAAUUACUGGGCGUAAAGCGCGCGUAGGUGGUUUGUUAAGUUGGAUGUGAAAUCCCCGGGCUCAACCUGGGAACUGCAUUCAAAACUGACUGACUAGAGUAUGGUAGAGGGUGGUGGAAUUUCCUGUGUAGCGGUGAAAUGCGUAGAUAUAGGAAGGAACACCAGUGGCGAAGGCGACCACCUGGACUAAUACUGACACUGAGGUGCGAAAGCGUGGGGAGCAAACA
Molecule: ribosomal RNA, 427 nt
Filed under: uncultured bacterium
Lineage: Bacteria
Description: partial 16S ribosomal RNA
Rfam family: Bacterial small subunit ribosomal RNA
Source: RNAcentral